GAUGAACGCUGGCGGCGUGCUUAACACAUGCAAGUCGAACGGUGAACACGGAGCUUGCUCUGUGGGAUCAGUGGCGAACGGGUGAGUAACACGUGAGCAACCUGCCCCUGACUCUGGGAUAAGCGCUGGAAACGGCGUCUAAUACUGGAUAUGUGACGUGAUCGCAUGGUCUGCGUCUGGAAAGAAUUUCGGUUGGGGAUGGGCUCGCGGCCUAUCAGCUUGUUGGUGAGGUAAUGGCUAACCAAGGCGUCGACGGGUAGCCGGCCUGAGAGGGUGACCGGCCACACUGGGACUGAGACACGGCCCAGACUCCUACGGGAGGCAGCAGUGGGGAAUAUUGCACAAUGGGCGCAAGCCUGAUGCAGCAACGCCGCGUGAGGGAUGACGGCCUUCGGGUUGUAAACCUCUUUUAGCAGGGAAGAAGCGAAAGUGACGGUACCUGCAGAAAAAGCGCCGGCUAACUACGUG
RNAcentral lists this ribosomal RNA (468 nucleotides) under uncultured bacterium. Its description in RNAcentral is "partial 16S ribosomal RNA". It matches the Rfam family "Bacterial small subunit ribosomal RNA", at positions 28 to 507 of the family's 1533-position model. The record is from RNAcentral.